UAGAGUUUGAUCCUGGCUCAGAACGAACGUUGGCGGCGUGCUUAACACAUGCAAGUCGAACGAGAAAGUUUCCUUCGGGAAGCGAGUAAAGUGGCGCACGGGUGAGUAACGCGUAGAUAACCUGUCCAGGUGUUCGGGAUAGCCCUUCGAAAGGGGGAUUAAUACCGGAUACGUUAAUCUUUCACAAGUGAGAUUAAGAAAGGUGGCCUCUAUUUAUAAGCUAUCGCAUUUGGAGGGGUCUGCGUACCAUUAGUUUGUUGGUGGGGUAAUGGCCUACCAAGACAUCGAUGGUUAGCGGGUCUGAGAGGAUGAUCCGUCACACUGGCACUGAAACACGGGCCAGACUCCUACGGGAGGCAGCAGUGAGGAAUAUUGCGCAAUGGGGGGAACCCUGACGCAGCGACGCCGCGUGGGUGAGGAAGGCUUUCGGGUCGUAAAGCCCUGUCAGAAGGGAAGAAAUGUGUAGAGGUUAAUACCCUUUGCAUUGACG
RNAcentral lists this ribosomal RNA (490 nucleotides) under uncultured delta proteobacterium. RNAcentral's name for it is "bacterial SSU rRNA". It matches the Rfam family "Bacterial small subunit ribosomal RNA", at positions 1 to 474 of the family's 1533-position model. Lineage: Bacteria; Deltaproteobacteria. The record is from RNAcentral.